This 2924-nucleotide long non-coding RNA is filed under the name Callithrix jacchus (white-tufted-ear marmoset). RNAcentral's name for it is "lncRNA (ENSCJAG00000073478.1)". Lineage: Eukaryota; Metazoa; Chordata; Mammalia; Primates; Cebidae. The record is from RNAcentral.
AGCCCUAGCCGGAGAAAAAUCGGCCAUCUUCAGUGGAUGGCACCCAGGUUCCCAUGGCAGUUCCUGGGCUCGGAGCCAGAGGACUUGGGGAGAGGAGAGGGAAGGGUAGGGAGGAUAUUGUCUUGCUUCUUGGAUACUGGCUCAGCCGCAGGAAGACAGGGCACGGGUCAGAGUUGUGAGGCCCUCGUUCCAGGCCGUAGCUCCCAGAUGACAUUUCCAGACACACCCUGGGCCAGAAGGGAACCGUCUCCCUUGAAAAGAAGGAGCCAGUCCUAAUGGGACACAUCACCUCCCAACCGAGGAGCCCUUGGGCCCUGAAGAACAGUAGCGAGACCCCGGCCACACUAGCGCUGGCUCAGGUGAGUCUCAGAGCCGCACGGGACCCUAGUGUGACCCAGCACAUUCCCAGCUGUGGUGGCCACAGGCAGAGACCCCUUCUGCUUGAGGAAAGGAGAGGGAAGAGGAAAGGAGACCCCACAGAGGACGAGGACAUCAGCUACUCAGGAGGCCGAAGCAGGAGAACCGCUUGAACCCGGGAGGCAGAGGUUGCAGGGAGCCAAGGUUACACAAUUGCACUCCAGCCUGGGCGAUAGAGCAGCACUCCACCCCAACAUAAACAAACAAAGAAAACAUAAAAUAGCUAGAAGAGAGGAAUUGCCACGUGUCAAGAAAAGACAAAUAAAGUCAACAAAAUAAUCUAAAGCUCCUUGAAUUGAUUAAGUUGUUUUGUUUUUCAUUUAAAAGAUAGUUCUAUGUCUUCCCUCCAGUUUUCUCACAGUACGAAGUACAAACAAGUGACAGGACAAACACUGCAUCUAUUAUCAUUUUCUCAACGUCAUGUACGUCAGCAUUUCUUACACUAAAUAGCUAAGGUUUUGUAAGUGUAGACACGAGUUGAACUAAACUGAGUUAUAACAAUGAAUAUCUGGAUUUUAAAAAUCAACCUUUUAAACCUCCAACAAUAGCAAUAAUUUCGUAACCCUACAAAGUUACUCCACCUUGUAAAUGGAAUAACUUCUAAGAUUUCCUCAUCUACUGACUUCGAGACCUGGGGUGGAUAAUAAAUUGAGGUAAUUAGCAAGUAAUGGUUACCUGGAUAAUCUCCAAAGGAAUGAAAAUUCCUAAAGACAAAAUGCAAAGGCACACAGUUAUUUCUGACAUAUGUAUUCUUGCCUAUGCAUGAACACAAUGGCGCCACACAGCACUCACCAAUCAGGAAAUCACUGUAAUAUAAACAUUGUUUUGUGCUUUAUUAGACACAGGGUCUCACUCUGUCCCCCAGGCUAGAGUGCACCGGUGCAAUCCUAGCUCAGCCAUAUCAAUGAAUGUUUUAAAAAUUUCUGUACAUAGCCUGGCACAGUGGCUCAUGCCUGUAAUCCCAGCACUUUGGGAGGCCAAGGAGAGCGGAUCACUGGAGGUCAGGAAUUUCAAACCAGCCUGGCCAACAUGGCAAAACCCCGUCUCUACUAAAAAAUACAAAAAUUACCCUGCCAUGGUGACAGGCACCUGUAGUCCCAGCUACUCAAGAGGCUGAAGCAAGAUAAUCGCUUGAACCCAGGAGGCGGAUGUUGCAGUGAGCCGAGAUCGUGGUGCUGCACUCCAGCCUGGGGGACAAGAGCAAGACUCAUCUAAAAAAGGGGGGAAACUCCGUCUCAAAAAAAAAGUGGGAGGGAAUGUUUUCUGUAUAAUGGAGUGCAGAGGCCUGGGUGCAUGGGAGGAAGGGGUCUUUAGGUAACUAACAUAUUUUCAACCUCAAGUAUUCUAUCUAGAGCCAGAGAUUUUUUUUCUCACCCUACUAGGAGCUCACAGCACUGUGCAUCUGUUAACAGAGGUGCUUUCAUGCUGCGCCUUGGCAUGGUUCUUUCAUAACUGCAGUCAAUUAUAAGAGAACAAGAAAUCAAACAGAACAGAUAGCAAAGGCUCUUCCUUUGUGGAGGAGCUAAAAUUCCCACUGCUUAUCACGUUACUUUCUCCUGUGUGUUGUUAUCAAAUAUUGGGACUCUGGUUACAUUGUCAAGGCCAUGGGCCUUUCUUGUUCUAGGGCAGCUGUGCUCCUCUCUUAAGCAACUGACCCGUCUCCCCUGGCAACUCUCUUUGGUACUGGCCUUCUCCCAGAUCAGACCUCAAAUUAGUAACAACACUAACAAGGGUGUUUGGACCACCAUGUUUGGUGGCCGGCCGCUUGGGCAUCCGGGUUUGCUGCUUUGCCUGGCUUGGGUACCCCACUGUAUGGUGCACGAGAAUAAAGGCGGAUGCCAAGAAGAAUGAGGCAUGAUCAGAAUGCCUCGUAGUUAUUAAAAGUGAUUCAAUGGGAUUGCAAAAUCCACCCUGUAGGCUGAAAGCAGUGGCGCACUCCUGUAAUCCCAGUACUUUGGAAGGCCAAGGCAGGAAAGUCGCUUGAAGCUGGGAGUUGGAGACCAGCAUGGGCUAUAUAGCAAGACCCUGUCUCUACAAAAACAAUACAAAAAUUAGCUGGGCAUAGUGGUGUGUGCCUGUAGUCCCAGGUACCUCGAGAGGCUGAGGCAGGAGGAUCUCUUGAGCUGUAAUCAGGUCACUACUGCAGCCUGGGUUACAGAGCAAGACCCUGUCUCAAAAAAAAAAAGUACCCUGUAAAUGUAUUAAAAUGUCACUAAUUUCAAUGUAUUUUGGUACAAAGGAAGGAAGUACUGAUACAUGCUAAAACUUAGAUAGAUCUCAAAAACAUUAUGCUCAGUGAAAGAAGCCACAGAGUAAAAGUCACAUAUCAUAUGAUUUGCUUUAUGUGAAAUAUCCAGAAUGGAUGAAUUCAUAGAUACAGAAAAGCAGAUCGGGGUUGCCAGGGGCUAGGGGAGUAGGGGAUGGGGAGUGGCACUGUAAUGGAUAUGAGGUUUCUGCAUGGGAUGAUGAAAAGAUCCUGAAAGUAGAUAGUGGUGAUGCUGGCACAG